Molecule: microRNA precursor, 111 nt
Organism: Mustela putorius furo (domestic ferret)
Lineage: Eukaryota; Metazoa; Chordata; Mammalia; Carnivora; Mustelidae
Product: microRNA 502
Source: Ensembl
GUGCUGCAGCCUUCUGCCCUGCUCCCCAUCUCUAAUCCUUGCUGUCUGGGUGCUAGUGCUGUCUCAAUGCAAUGCACCUGGGCAAGGAUUCAGAGAGGGUGGGCUCGACUG